This 480-nucleotide ribosomal RNA is filed under the name uncultured bacterium. RNAcentral describes it as "bacterial SSU rRNA". It matches the Rfam family "Bacterial small subunit ribosomal RNA", at positions 30 to 506 of the family's 1533-position model. The record is from RNAcentral.
UUGAACGCUGGCGGCAUGCCUUACACAUGCAAGUCGAACGGUAACAGGUCUUCGGAUGCUGACGAGUGGCGAACGGGUGAGUAAUACAUCGGAACGUGCCCGAUCGUGGGGGAUAACGCAGCGAAAGCUGUGCUAAUACCGCAUACGAUCUACGGAUGAAAGCGGGGGAUCGCAAGACCUCGCGCGGACGGAGCGGCCGAUGGCAGAUUAGGUAGUUGGUGGGAUAAAAGCUUACCAAGCCGACGAUCUGUAGCUGGUCUGAGAGGACGACCAGCCACACUGGGACUGAGACACGGCCCAGACUCCUACGGGAGGCAGCAGUGGGGAAUUUUGGACAAUGGGCGCAAGCCUGAUCCAGCAAUGCCGCGUGCAGGAAGAAAGCCUUCGGGUUGUAAACUGCUUUUGUACGGAACGAAACGGUCUGGGUUAAUACCUCGGGCUAAUGACGGUACCGUAAGAAUAAGCACCGGCUAACUACGU